RNAcentral lists this transfer RNA (95 nucleotides) under Vibrio harveyi. Its description in RNAcentral is "tRNA-Ser". It matches the Rfam family "tRNA". From Rfam's summary of the family: Transfer RNA (tRNA) molecules are approximately 80 nucleotides in length. Their secondary structure includes four short double-helical elements and three loops (D, anti-codon, and T loops). RNAcentral also lists the same sequence under 1 other name. The record is from RNAcentral. Lineage: Bacteria; Pseudomonadati; Pseudomonadota; Gammaproteobacteria; Vibrionales; Vibrionaceae.
GGAGAGAUGGCUGAGUGGUUGAAAGCACCUAGGUCUUGAAAACCUAAGCAUACGUUAAUAGCGUAUCUAGGGUUCAAAUCCCUAUCUCUCCGCCA